AUGAAAAUGCAAAAAACCAAGAAGAGUCGAGACACUGACAGGGAGCUCUGGUCUGUGCUGGAUGAUCCCAGGAUGAAGACCAAAUAUGUAUUUCUUAUUACAGCACCAUAUCACUGUGUUUCAUUUCAUAAGGGACUGGCUUAUGCAAUUGUGGGAAGGUCCCGAGCAGGCUGGAGCUCCACAGGCGUGAGUGGAAGCUUGUUCCCAGACAGGAAGGAAGAGGAUCCAGAGGGAGCAGACGGCCGCGUGGAUCCCUGGGGAGACCGUGUGCGCACUCCCCAAUGGCCGCUGCCUUCCUUCCGUGCUCUGACUUUGUGCAAGAAUAUUGCCAGGAGCCCACACUAGUUAGGGUCACACCGAAAAGGGAAUUCCGGGGUCUGUAGUUAAGCCUCGCUGAGCUGCUGCAUGACGCGCUCGUCACGCUUGUGUAGCACCAGCCGUGGCGGAUGGUGUGGGACACCAUCUCCGCGCUCACACCGUGUUCUCUACACCAUUGCAGUUUCUGACCCUGAGCUUCCUGCAUGUGCCUCCAGCCUCGUGUAUUCUGCGUUUGUGUUUUGGACAUUGUGUGCACGUAAAUAUUUUACCAGAGUGUAACUAAGGCUCGGGCUGGAUGCCUCCUUCACUGCUGAGUCUCCUGUGCUCCACAGGGCCUGGCAGGCCGGGGGCACUCAAUUAACAGGUGUCGAGUGCAUGAGUACAAAACACACGCACAUUUCUGUACAAGCGUGUGUGUACAACGUGUAAAUCUCUGUGCGUAGAUGUUUUUGUGUGUGCGCACAUGUGUGUGUAUGUGUGCAUGUCGGUAUCUGUGUGUGGGAAGAAAAAUAUCUGGGUAGGCCCAAAAGAGCCAUUAGGGACUAUUUUAUUUUAUUUUUAAAGAUUUACGUGUUUAUUUGAGAGUAAGAGAGAAAGACAGAGAGAGGGGAGGAGAGAGAAGGACAAGCAGACACCAGGCCGAGCCCUGGGGCCCCACGCAGGCCCAGUCUCACAAUCUCCACCUCGAGACCAAGACUGAGCUGAAACCAAGAGCGGGGCGCUCAGCCAACAAGCCACCUGUGCACCAUUGCAAUGAAUUCUAGCCAUGAGUAUAGGAUUCAUUCAGAGAAACAUUUCGGAAAUUACCAUUUGUGCAGAAUGGAAGAAAGUACACGGAUACCUUCUGUAGUGGGGUGAAUGGUGGCCCCCCAAAAGGUAUGUGCUCACCCCCAAAACCUGUGAAGGUGACCUUACCUGGAAAAAAGGCUUUUGUAGAUGUAGUCAGGAUAAGGACCUACUGUGAGAUCAUCCUGGAUUAUCUGCGUGUCUGCGGGAUCCUGCCUGAAAUCCAGUGACAAGUUUUCUGUGAGAGGAGAAGGGGCCAUGUGACCCCAGUGCCAGAAACUGGAAGGUACAGCCCAGGAAGGCACGGAAUGCCGCAGCCACCAGGAGCUGGACAGGGUGGGGACGGACCCCCCUAGAGAACCUGCACGUCCCCCCGACACCUUGAUUUCAGACUUCUGCCCUCCAGAACUCUGAGAGAGUAGAUUUGUGCUGCGUUAAGCCACUCGGUUUGCGGUAACGUGUUAGGACAGUGACAGGAAAUGACUGUAUGACAUGUUGGGCAUGGAGGAACUUGUGCCCAAUUUGUCCAGGGCUGUGUGUGCCCUUGGCGGUGCACCCCCACAUUCCACCUUGACCGCCAGCCCCGGGGGAGGACAACAGCACCGCGAAUGUUUCAAGAGGGGAGCCGGCAGGCGGUGGAUCUAGAGGGAGCCUGGCUGAGAGGGCCAGGCGGGUCCAGACAUCUGCAACCCUUCGGAUUCACUGGGCCCCUGAAAGUUUUCUGGAAAUAAUGGUUUUGGGGGCAUUUGGAAACCACUGGAGGCCACCCGGGAACAGGGUGGGAAAAGAUGGUUUUCCUGCUUCCAGCAAACUGGUGCCUUUCCUGAGCGUGGUUGGAGUGAAGAGCCAGCACCCCUCCUCCCUCACUGCCCAGGGCACUGCGGGGGUGCGGGGGGCUGGGGACCCUGGCACUCCUGCCUCAGUGUGCUGCCGCUCAGCUCCCAGCGCGGCGCUCGGGCCGCGUCCACGGCUCUGCUUCGCUUCCUGUCCUGGUUGCUUUUCCUUCUCUGUCCGACCUGGCGCAGGAUCUCCAGCGCCUCGGCCCCUGGGCGGCAGCCAGCUCCGCUUUCCUUGAAUGACUGGCGAGAGCAGCAGGGCCAGGCGGGAGUCAUCAUCAGACAGGGAACAGGCCAGUUCCACCGUCCCUGAAGUUCUGAGUCGUUUCCACCGGGUACUUGUACGUGACCGCGGGAGACCCGUGGACUCACAGUGGAGAACCUGCUUAACUAGAAGUGGCAUCACGCAUGAGUGACGUGACCUGUGUGCCUCCUGCUGUGACGGCAGCUCCCUUCUGGGGUGCUCCUGCCCCCCAACAGCAGACAGACUCAAGGUGAAGACUAUUUUAUAAAUACACACGUGGAAUGCCUCCAAGACAGAGCAAGAGUGAGGAAAGAGGCAGAAGUGAGGCAACCAAACGCAGCACCCGGGUGGGUGGAAAAACUCGCCGUGUGUGUAGCCGGGGCACGAGGGCGGGUUCGACCUCUCCGGGCUGACAGCAUCUAAGUACAUGGAGAGGAACAGCCGUGAAACCAGAAGGGGUUUCAUUUCAGUGACACCCACACCGGGAGGACAGAAGACUAACAUCUCAAGGCUGUCUCCAGGGGCUUCUGGGGGGCUCAGUCAUUAAGCCUCUGCCUUCAGCUCAGGUCAUGAUCUCAGGAUCCUGGGAUCGAGCCCCGCAUCGGGCUCCCUGCUGAGUGGGGAGCCUGCUUCUCCCUCUCCCACUCCCCCUGCUUGUGCUCCCUCUCUCGCUGUGUCUCUUUCUCUCUCUGUCAAAUAAAUAAAAUAAAAAAUCUAAGGAAAAAAAAAAGACCCUUUCCAUAGUGCCGAAAAUACUUCUAGGUUUCUACAAGGAAAUCGUGGGACAAAGGUCGGAGGACACCUGCAGGCGGCCAUGAAGGUCAGGUCAUCACUGUCUUGGGGUCAGUCACAGGUGGGGUCUGGCUGGCUCAGGGCGGUCUUUGCUGGAGCGGGUGGUUUCACUUCCCACGGGGAUGCUUUGCCUGCAGUCUCCUUCGCCUGAGUUCAGAGAUAGCUGGAAAGAAGAACUUAAUUAGAAAUUACAGACUGGGGCGCCUGGGUGGCUCAGUGGGUUAAAGCCUCUGCUUCAGGGUCCUGGGAUCAAGCCCCACAUUGGACUCUCUGCUCAGCGGGGAGCCUGCUUCCCCUCUCUCUCUGCCUGCCUCUCUGCCUGCUUGUGAUCUCUGUCAAUAAAUAAAUAAAAUCUUAAAAAAAAAAAUUACAGACUGAGGUUAAAAUGGGGGUUGCUAAAAUCCUCUUUCAAAAAGGACAUAAUUGUGAUGAUUCAGAAUGUGCAUAUGCACUGUAUAUUACAUAAAUUCAAUAAAUUUCCUUCACUGGGUCACGGAAUAAGAGAAUGUCUGUUUUUAGGAGAUACCUGUGAAAUAAAAAGGAACAUAAGAUACAGGGCCCAGGGCACCUUGAAUGGCUCAGUCUGAUAAGCGUCUGCUUUUGGCUCAAGUCCUGAUCCCAGGGUCGUGGGAUCGAGCUUCACGGCGCGCUCCCUGCCCAGUGGGGGGUCUGCCUCUCCCUCUCCUCUGCCAUUCCACCCCCCCAACUUGUGUUCUCUGGCUCUUUCUCUCUGUCACAUAAAUGAAGAGUCUUUUUUUAAAAAAAGGCACAAUGUCUGUAAUUUAUUAUCACAUGGUUCAAGAACAAUAAAAAUCUUGUAUAUUAUAUAUAGACAGAUAAUUAUAUAGAGACAGAUCUCAAACAAAUGUAGCGAAUAUUAACAAUUGGUGCAUCCACAGUUGGGCACUUGGAGAACAAUAUAUAUACUGGACUUAACUGUAUUAUUCUCACCAAUUUUUUCUAUGUUUAAAAUAUUUCUUUUUUAAAAAACAUUUUACUUACUUUUGUGAGGGAGAAAGAGAGAGAGAGAACAUAAGCAGGAGCAGGGGGAGAGGCAGAGGGUGAGGGAGAAGCAGGCUCCCUACUGCAUUGCGGGGACCCCAAUGCAGGACUCGAUCCCAAGACUCUGGGAUCAUGACCUGAGGGGAAGGCAGAUAUUUAACUGACUGAGUAACCCAGGCUCCCCUAUGUUUAAAAACUUUCAAAAUAGGGCACCUGGGUGGCUCAGUGGGUUAAAGCCUCUGCCUUCGGCUCAGAUCAUGAUCUCGGGGUCCUGGGAUUGGCCCCCAAAUUGGGCUCUCUGCUCAGCAGGGAGCCUGUUUCCUCCUCUCUCUCUCUGUCUGCCUCUCUGCCUACUUGUG
Mustela putorius furo (domestic ferret) is the source of this 4337-nucleotide long non-coding RNA. The record is from Ensembl. Lineage: Eukaryota; Metazoa; Chordata; Mammalia; Carnivora; Mustelidae.